UGACUUGUCAUUGGGUCUGAUUUUAAAUGUGCCGUAUAGUUCAAUGUGGGAGCAGGUUCACACACUAAAUAAGACACUAAGGUCAAGCACAAGCAGAUUUUUUUGUUUUUUUUAACAAUUCUCAGAGCAGAUUAGAGCAGACGUUUCAGGUUGCUGCCAUCAGAGAGUAGUGACUUGACCUUAGUGUCUUUAGUGUGCUCCCACAUUGAACUCUACUUUUUGGGUCCAUGCACCUACUUAUUUCUAAACAUCUAGAGCGCAACAAUACCCCUGCCUCCUGAUGUGCCAUAUAACCUGUAUCUCUCCAAGUGUGUGUGUGUGUGUGUGUGUGUGUGUGUGUGUGUGUGUGUGUGUGUGUGUGUGUGUGUGUGUGUGAGAGAGAGAGAGAAUGUGUGCACGCAGAUAUAAGAAGUUGGGGUUGAUGAUCCACAUGAUGGUGAUGGACCAGGACAGCUCUGGACCUCCUGACUGGCAGCUCCAUCCUCAACCUCUCUUCCUGCCCUUCACACAUGUGCAGGCAGCCAGUUUUCUGAAAGAUGGUUGAUGUCAGUACCAACAUGUUGUGAUGGAGGCUUCCACCUGAGCUGAACACAGAAACUUGCACACAGUGAUGGAAGCAGUCGUUCCUGUUCAGCAUCGAUAUGCCAGUAAUGGGUUUGAUGAGCCACAGCAUGGGUAUGGGCAAUCAGCAUCAGGACCAGGGCAGCUCACAAGGAGAACCUCCUGCCCUGCCUCGUCAUCCUCACCCUCCCAUCUCCCUGCUCUUCACACAUGUGCAGGCACGCAGCCAGUUUUCAGAGGGAGGGCUGAUGACACCAGCAACUUUGGUUCUGAACCUGAUCAACCCAGCACCAACCACUGUGCCGCUCCUCCUCUUCCAACUGCACCACAUGGCUCCACCAUCUCAAAAAGGCACAGACACUACUCCACUUCCUGCGAAGGAUGAGAGAAGAGAAGACCGCCCCACAUCGGCACUCACCACCUUCUACAGGGGUGUCAUUGAGAGCAUCCUGACCAGCAGCCUCUCUGUCUGGCAUGGCAGCCGUCAAGCUGAAGACUAGAAGGCAGUACAGAGAGUGUGGUGAGAACGGCAGAAAAGCUCAUAAGAUCACCCCUACCAGCCAUUCCGGAUCUGUACACUUCACACUGUUCCAAGAGGGCAAUGAACAUCAUAAAGACACAACUCAUCCAGCAUACAGACUGUUCUCCCUACUACCAUCAGGGAAGCGCUAGCCCAGCAUGCGGUGCCGCACAAGCACACUGGGAAACGGCUUCUUUCCACAAGCCAUCAGACUCCUCAACGCACUGAAGAAAACCACAUGAAUAUUCCAAGGACACUGGAGAAUAUUUGAUGAACACUUCUUUCACCAUGCCACUUACACUUUACUCAUUGCACCUUAUAUACAGCAUCUUCAUAUCACCUGUAUGAUCUCCUCCUGCCGUGUGUGUGUGUGUGUGUGUGUGUGUGUGUGUGUGUGUGUGUGUGUGUGUGUGUGUGUGUGUGUGUGUGUGUGUGUGUGUGUGUGUGUGUCCACUGUGUUUGUGUAUUUAUUGUUAAUGUUAAUUUAUUGUAUGUUAAUCUUCUUAUUGCACACUGUUUGUGUCUCUGUGUGACUGUAUGUAUUGUAUGUAUCAGUCUGUAUUUCAUGUCAAUGCAUUAUUUUUAGUUAUUAGUUAAACUGCACAUUGGAGACUGGUCAAACACAAUUUCAAACUUUGUGUUAACCCUCCAUAGAUUUUUGUCAAAAAAUGGAGUCUAAUCUACUGUACUACACAGGCUAUCAACAGACCACACAGUUGAGUGCUGUUUUAUGCACUCUGAAUAUGAGGAGAAGGAGAGGUGACCUUUCACACUUCAUAGUGUAAAAGUAAACAGAAAUACAUUUUCACAUUUCA
Engraulis encrasicolus (European anchovy) is the source of this 1896-nucleotide long non-coding RNA. RefSeq lists it as uncharacterized. NCBI's taxonomy places the organism in Eukaryota, Metazoa, Chordata, Actinopteri, Clupeiformes, Engraulidae. The record is from RefSeq and is a predicted model, not a curated record. The transcript has 4 exons.